RNAcentral lists this long non-coding RNA (361 nucleotides) under Manihot esculenta (cassava). Its description in RNAcentral is "long non-coding RNA (MESC_LNC000703)". Lineage: Eukaryota; Viridiplantae; Streptophyta; Magnoliopsida; Malpighiales; Euphorbiaceae. The record is from RNAcentral.
GGUUUUUGGGUAGUUGUUUAUGAGUUGUUUAGAGUAUGUUUGGCACCUCACUGGAGUCCACCUGUGUAGGAUCGAACCCGAGGAAUCAAGGUGUUUAGCAGUGUUAGCUGCUUCAGAGUUAGUCCAGAGCUAGCCAGAGGUGAGUGGAACUAACCCUUAUGUUUUAAAUCAAAUGUUUUUAGCAUGUUCAAGCAUGUUCAUGCAUCAUGAAUACCAUGUUAUGCAAUAGGUUGUUUGCAUUAGAAUUCACGAAUAUGAUGCAUUGCAUAAUACGAUGAUGAUGAUGUGGAUGGAUACUGGAUGAUCCUCUAGCCCUCAGUAUGCUAUGACAUGAUAUGGAAUGAUGUGAUAUGGCAUGUAC